This 67-nucleotide transfer RNA is filed under the name Melanocorypha mongolica. Its description in RNAcentral is "tRNA-Ser". The record is from RNAcentral. Lineage: Eukaryota; Metazoa; Chordata; Aves; Passeriformes; Alaudidae.
GAGGGGGAGGACCAACCAACAAGAACUGCUAACUCUUGUUCCUGAGCCUAAAACCUCAGCCCCCUUA